GAAGACGGCCAUAAUAGGUUGGAAACACCUGUUCCCAUUCCGAACACAGAAGUUAAGCUUCCUAUGUUGAUUGUGUUAGUGCCCCACAAGGUGCCAAGCAAUCAAGCUGUCUUCU
This is a non-coding RNA of Candidatus Pacearchaeota archaeon RBG_13_33_26, 115 nucleotides long. NCBI's taxonomy places the organism in Archaea, Nanobdellati. The record is from Rfam.